UUUAUCUCUCUCUCUCUCUGUGUCUGUGGCUGUGUGUGUGAUACACGUAUAUAUACAUGAAGAAUAUGCAGAGGAAGUUUCUAAAGGCAUGCUGUAACAAGUGGAGUAAGACGGAGAGUAGAGUCAUACCGUGUGCGGGAUGUGAGCACUGCUGCCAGUGGGGUUUGUGGGCUUCCUCGCAUGAAGGGAAGUCAAUACCAAGAGAUGUCCCAAAGGGUCAUUUAGUGGUUUAUGUGGGGGAAAACUACAAACGGUUUGUGAUCAAACUUAGCUUACUUCACCACCCACUCUUCAGGGCAUUGCUGGAUCGGGCUCAGGAUGAAUAUGACUUUACUGCUGAUUCCAAACUCUGCAUUCCCUGUGAGGAGAGCAUUUUCCUUGAUGUUGUUCGAUGUGCUAGCUUUCCACAGGGUUCAAGAACCUGCCUGUGUCUCUGAGAAUUCAUUCAAUAGAGAGCUCUGAUUAAUUCUUGUUCCUUGAGGCUUAAGCUAAUGCUAAAGCAUAACCCAUUAAUUAUAUGCUGUAUACCAUAUGUAGUUACUGUAAUAUAACAAUUUCUCUGCCUGAUCAUAAUUGCAAUUCCAUUUGAUAAUGGUAAAUUUUCG
This 605-nucleotide unclassified non-coding RNA is filed under the name Hevea brasiliensis (rubber tree). Lineage: Eukaryota; Viridiplantae; Streptophyta; Magnoliopsida; Malpighiales; Euphorbiaceae. The record is from RNAcentral.